UACAGAGGUGGCAAGCGUUGUUCGGAAUUACUGGGCGUAAAGGGCGCGUAGGCGGUCUUGUCAGUCCCUUGUGAAAUCCCCCGGCUCAACUGGGGAACUGCACGGGAAACAGCAGGGCUUGAGUUCGGGAGAGGGAAGCGGAAUUCCGGGUGUAGCGGUGAAAUGCGUAGAGAUCCGGAGGAACACCAGCGGCGAAGGCGGCAUCCUGGACUGGUCCUGACACUCAGGAGCGAAAGCGUGGGGAGCGAGCCGG
Molecule: ribosomal RNA, 253 nt
Filed under: uncultured bacterium
Lineage: Bacteria
Description: partial 16S ribosomal RNA
Rfam family: Bacterial small subunit ribosomal RNA
Source: RNAcentral